UACGUAGGGGGCAAGCGUUGUCCGGAUUUAUUGGGCGUAAAGAGCGUGUAGGCGGCCAUGUAGGUCCGUUGUGAAAACUCGAGGCUCAACCUCGAGACGCCGAUGGAAACCAUGUGGCUAGAGUCCGGAAGAGGAGGGUGGAAUUCCUGGUGUAGCGGUGAAAUGCGCAGAUAUCAGGAAGAACACCUAUGGCGAAGGCAGCUCUCUGGGACGGUACUGACGCUGAGACGCGAAAGCGUGGGGAGCGAACAGG
RNAcentral lists this ribosomal RNA (253 nucleotides) under uncultured bacterium. Its description in RNAcentral is "partial 16S ribosomal RNA". It matches the Rfam family "Bacterial small subunit ribosomal RNA", at positions 524 to 776 of the family's 1533-position model. The record is from RNAcentral.